This is a long non-coding RNA of Harpia harpyja (harpy eagle), 1000 nucleotides long. RefSeq lists it as uncharacterized. The record is from RefSeq and is a predicted model, not a curated record. NCBI's taxonomy places the organism in Eukaryota, Metazoa, Chordata, Aves, Accipitriformes, Accipitridae. The transcript has 3 exons.
CCGCUCGGCCCGUGCGGCUGCCCCCAGCUCCAGCCCCUCCCCUGAAGCCUGCGCUGUAGCCGCAGGCAGCCCCCGAGCCCUGUCGCGAGGGCAGCAAGCUGGCCCUGCGGUGGUCUGGAGUCUCCCUUAACGGGGGUGCCGUUAGCAGCGGCGCGGGGAACGAGCGGCGUCUGCGGAAGCCCCUGCGGAAGGAGGGGCUCCGGCCAGGGUCGAGCUGCGGUAAUAAUGGUCACUGCUGCCUCUUUCCUUCUCCCAGAGGCCACGCUGUGGGUGCGGUUGUCUGUUCGUCCCCUGGGGAUGCCGUUGACUGCAGCAGCCUCAGGCUUGCGUGGGCUGUCUCUGCCUGGCCUCCCUCUCCUCGCGGCGCGGGAGCGCAGAGGGACAGGUGGAGCGCUUACUGGCUGUGGACAGGAGCUGCUGAAGCUGACGCUGAAGCUGGAGAGGCCACAGAAUGGUAAAGCUGCUGAAGAAUAAAAUAAAGAGGAUCCAGCCACCAGCUGCAGACAGGAGAUAGCCUGCCUCUCCAGGUGGAUGACAGUCAAGUGAGUGCAGCUACAGAGGAGGAAGGGAGAGGGAGAGAGAGACAGACAUGUCUGAACUGUCAAAUUCUCCCAGCAGCUCCAACAGCAGGAGCCUGCAGUGAAGACCAUGGUGACACAGGCUGUCCCCCUGCAGCCCACGGAGGUCCAUGGCGGAGCAGAUAUGCACCCUGCAGCCGAUGGAGGACCCCUCGCCAGAGCAGGCGGAUUCACCCGAAGGAGGCUGUGACGCUGUGGAGAGGAGCCCACACUGGAGCAGGUUUUCUGGCAGGACCUGCGGCCCCAUGGGAGUGACACCACACUGGAACAGAAGAAGAGCACAAAGAAGGAAGGAGCAGCAGAGACAACUUGUGAUGAACUGACUGCAACCCCCCCCUCCUUCUCCCCCUGUGCUGCUCGGUAGGAGGAGGUAGAGAAGUCAGGAGUGAAGAUGAGCCCAGGAAAAAAAGAGAGGGGUGGGG